Molecule: ribosomal RNA, 498 nt
Filed under: uncultured bacterium
Lineage: Bacteria
Description: bacterial SSU rRNA
Rfam family: Bacterial small subunit ribosomal RNA
Source: RNAcentral
AACGAACGCUGGCGGCGUGCCUAACACAUGCAAGUCGAGCGAGAAAGUCCCUUCGGGGGCGAGUAAAGCGGCGGACGGGUGAGUAAUACAUGGAUAAUCUUCCCUCGAGCCUGGGAUAACCCUGCGAAAGUGGGGCUAAUACCGGAUAAGACCACAUGACACAUGUCACGGGGUAGAAGGUGGCUUGUAUUUAUAUGAGCUAUCACUUGAGGAUGAGUCCAUGGCCUAUCAGCUAGUUGGUGAGGUAAGAGCUUACCAAGGCUAUGACGGGUAGCUGGUCUGAGAGGACGACUAGCCACACUGGGACUGAGACACGGCCCAGACUCCUACGGGAGGCAGCAGUGGGGAAUAUUGGGCAAUGGGCGAAAGCCUGACCCAGCGACGCCGCGUGGGUGAUGAAGGCCUUCGGGUUGUAAAACUCUGUCCUUGGUGAGAAAGGAGGUAGCCAAGGAGGAAGCCCGGCUAACUACGUGCCAGCAGCCGCGGUAAGCAUACUCG